GAUGAAGAACGCAGCGAAGUGCGAUAAGUAAUGUGAAUUGCAGAAUCCAGUGAAUCAUCGAAUCUUUGAACGCACAUUGCGCCCUCUGGUAUUCCGGGGGGCAUGCCUGUUCGAGCGUCAUUAUAACCACUCAAGCUCUCGCUUGGUAUUGGAGUUCGCGAUCUCGCGGCUCCUAAAAUCAGUGGCGGUGCCUGUCGGCUCUACGCGUAGUAAUACUCCUCGCGAUUGAGUCCGGUAGGUUUACUUGCCAGCAACCCCCAAUUUUUACAGGUUGACCUCGGAUCAGGUAGGGAUACCCGCUGAACUUAAGCAUAUCAAUAAGCGGAGGA
RNAcentral lists this unclassified non-coding RNA (329 nucleotides) under soil metagenome. RNAcentral's name for it is "partial contains 5.8S ribosomal RNA, internal transcribed spacer 2, and large subunit ribosomal RNA". The stretch from base 1 to 120 matches the Rfam family "5.8S ribosomal RNA", at positions 35 to 154 of the family's 154-position model. The record is from RNAcentral.